UAAGAGCGUGCAUUCUAGUUAGGCGUCCACACUUAUCGGUUUGUUUGAUGUUACAGCCAAGGGUCUGUAGCUCAGGUGGUUAGAGCACCGUCUUGAUAAGGCGGGGGUCGUAGGUUCAAGUCCUACCAGACCCACCAAGUUAUGGACGGUGGAAGUCUCUGCCGUGACUGGGGGAUUAGCUCAGCUGGGAGAGCACCUGCUUUGCAAGCAGGGGGUCGUCGGUUCGAUCCCGUCAUCCUCCACCAAUACCUUGUGGUUGCCAAACGCAAGCAUCGAGUUUUCGGUGUUUGCGUUUGGCAUUGCCAAGACGAGUAAUAACUCGGCUGUUCUUUAACAAUAUGGAAUGUAGUAAAGGUGUCGCGGAGCAUUGAUGAGAUGCUCGCAAAAACGCGACAUUGGGUUGUGAUUGUAUCAACCAGUAUUACGAGUGAUCGAAAGACCGCUUGGAAUACGGCACAACGCGAGAACUCAGCCUAUAUCGAGACAUACUCGUUAUAG
This 498-nucleotide unclassified non-coding RNA is filed under the name Ralstonia solanacearum. RNAcentral's name for it is "16S-23S ribosomal RNA intergenic spacer". The stretch from base 61 to 134 matches the Rfam family "tRNA". The record is from RNAcentral. Lineage: Bacteria; Pseudomonadati; Pseudomonadota; Betaproteobacteria; Burkholderiales; Burkholderiaceae.